Long non-coding RNA from Culex pipiens pallens (northern house mosquito), 1476 nucleotides. RefSeq lists it as uncharacterized. The record is from RefSeq and is a predicted model, not a curated record. NCBI's taxonomy places the organism in Eukaryota, Metazoa, Arthropoda, Insecta, Diptera, Culicidae. The transcript has 3 exons.
CGAAAAACAACUUUUUGAUUAUUUUUUGAAUCAUAUUUGCAACUUCAACAAUUUACGUGGAAUUUUCCGAGGAUUCGAAAAAUGACAAAGUUUAGCGCCCCAAAAUUGCCGUUUUGAUGGCAUACAGGGCUAAAUUAGAAAUUAGAAUAUCAACAAAACACAAAUUAGCAAUGCAAAGAUUCUGAAUUCGACUAAAUAAUAUCAGGAUUGCUCAAAAUGACCUUUAAAUUAAAUUUUUAUAGUUAAAAGAAGGUUUGCAAUUGAAUAUUCCAGCCGUUUUUUCACCCACGUGGUAGCUGUCUGACAUAUGGCGUCGCGGUGUGCAUCAAGCUUUCAUUAGAGACCCUAAAUAGUGUACGACGGUGGCAGCAGCCAGGAAUCGGACGCGGAAACCUUCGUGAGUCAAACAGCAGCAGCGGAACGCCUUCGAAGGUGGGUGGUGCGGUUGCGGGACGAGGUGAAGUGCUCAAAAAGGACAAGGCGAGCUUCCUGCAGGAACGGCAGCUGUUCCACGACCGGAAUGGGAUGAGAGGUAGAAAUGUGGAUUCGCACCGGUUGUAUUCGGUGGUGGUGGCCCGGGAUCGGUGAUUGAAGGUCAAUUCUCGCGAGGACUGGAACGAGAUCGUCGAGGAGACGGCGCUGCCAAAGAGUUGCGUGAACAACGAGAUUGCGUUGAAGAAGAUAAACAUCCGGUUUUUGGACAAGUACGAGACAGGUGAUUUUCACGGUGAGGAGAAGGAGCCGACGAAGAGGAGGACGACGAGAAGCGGGAUAAUCGGAGGUAUCCAUAGCGGAUGUUGCACUCGGUGCCGGCAGUUUACAGCACCUCAAAUAACCGCCCACAAAUGCUCAUCUCGCGACGGCGCAGCUCCAGCCGAAUUAACCCUGGACAGCGUGCAGAAAAAAUCUGUGUCAUUCUCGAAGGAGGAUGAAGUGCUCGAAAUCGAAUUCCGUUCCGAGGGCUCCAUCAACCCAAUCUUCCGGAUGCGCUUCCAGAAUCGGGAACUCCCUGUUCAGGCACUUCACUUUCCAGCCAGGAAACGUCGAUCACCCUUGCCGAAUCUACAGCUAACUUCUCCAAACCUGUCCUGAUGAAGGCCGGCAACGUGACCAUCCUGUUCUCUACUUUGCUGUCGCGCGUCGAAACGUCCGUCUGGAACCGUCCAGCUUGGGGUCUUCGGAAGUGACCGGUGGCGUACCCUAAGAAUCGUUACAGCUUGGACUCGGAUUUUGGCCAGAAGCGUUAAAUACAAUAACAAAAUGUCUUAUUUAACAUACUGUUUAAAACUUUUAAAAAUAAAUAUAAAAUCAAGCCUAGAAUCAAGCAAUUUUUUUCUGAAAUUAACACUGUAGUAUUCAAUUUUGUUUAUUCUUGCUAUAAAAGGUUUCUUUUCCAAUUAAAAGUAAAACACAUUUACCGAUACAACGAUUUUGUUCCAUAAAUGCAUGGUAGUAUCAAAAACUUUCCAACUUUCA